UCAGUAAAAAUAGCGUCUAAGCAAAUUUUUAAAAGAUCCCCUUAUCCCUAAUUACCUCCAGCAAACUAAAAAGAACAACUCUAUACAAAUAGAGGCUCUUAUGCUAAAACUAAUAAUACGGGUUCAUCCCUUCUAGCACAUUUUUUUCUCAUGGUUUGACAAUUAACAGACCACAGAAGGUAAGGAUAACACUCUUCACUAUUCUAACCCCACUGUAAGUCCGACUCUGGUGUGCAAAAUUAAGGUUAAAAGUCUUAGAAGGAACUCGGCAAACACGAACCCCAACUGUUUACCAAAAACAUAGCCUUUAGCCAUACAAGUAUUAAAGGUGCUGCCUGCCCAGUGAAUUUUUUUAACGGCCGCGGUAUCCUGACCGUGCAAAGGUAGCGAAAUCAUUUGUCUACUAAUUAUAGACCCGUAUGAAGGGCCACAUGAGGGUUUAACUGUCUCCUAAGACUAACCUAUAGGACUGAUCCCCUAGUUCAAAAGCUAGGAUUAGACUAUAAGACGAGAAGACCCUGUGCAAGCUUAAAAAAUCUUAUUAAAGAAUUAAUGAGUAUUUUUAGUUGGGGCAACUUUGGAAAACAGACUAACCUCCAAACAACCUAAAAGACUGACAGGUCAAUAAAGACCCAGUAUAACUGAAAAAUGGACCAAGUUACUCCAGGGGAUAACAGCGCAAUCUUCUUCAAGAGCUCCUAUCUAAAAGAAGGUUUACGACCUCGAUGUUGGAUCAGGACACCCAAACGGAGCAGCAGCUGUUAAAGGUUCGUUUGUUCNACGAUUAGAG
This 790-nucleotide ribosomal RNA is filed under the name Anilios waitii (beaked blind snake). RNAcentral describes it as "partial 16S ribosomal RNA". It matches the Rfam family "Bacterial large subunit ribosomal RNA", at positions 1512 to 2593 of the family's 2925-position model. The record is from RNAcentral. Lineage: Eukaryota; Metazoa; Chordata; Lepidosauria; Squamata; Typhlopidae.